This 492-nucleotide ribosomal RNA is filed under the name uncultured bacterium. Its description in RNAcentral is "bacterial SSU rRNA". It matches the Rfam family "Bacterial small subunit ribosomal RNA", at positions 28 to 525 of the family's 1533-position model. The record is from RNAcentral.
GAUGAACGCUAGCGGGAGGCCUAAUACAUGCAAGUCGAGCGGUAGAGUGACUUCGGUUGCUUGAGAGCGGCGCACGGGUGAGUAACGCGUACAUGACCUACCUUUAAGACUGGGAUAGCCCUGGGAAACUGGGAUUAAUACCGGAUGUGAUAAUACGUAUAGAGAUGUAUUAUUAAAGUUGAGGCGCUUAGAGAUGGAUGUGCGUCUGAUUAGCUAGUUGGUAGGGUAACGGCCUACCAAGGCGACGAUCAGUAGGGGGCGUGAGAGCGUGGCCCCCCANACGGGUACUGAGACACGGACCCGAUCCUACGGGAGGCAGCAGUAAGGAUAUGGUCAAUGGACGAAGUCUGAACCAGCCAUCCCGCGUGCAGGAUGACUGCCCUAUGGGUUGUAAACUGCUUUUAGCAGAGACGAAACGCCUUCAUUUAUGAGGGUCUGACGGUAUCUGCAGAAUAAGCACCGGCUAACUCCGUGCCAGCAGCCGCGGUAAAG